This 451-nucleotide ribosomal RNA is filed under the name uncultured bacterium. RNAcentral describes it as "bacterial SSU rRNA". It matches the Rfam family "Bacterial small subunit ribosomal RNA", at positions 29 to 524 of the family's 1533-position model. The record is from RNAcentral.
AGCGAACGCUGGCGGCAGGCUUAACACAUGCAAGUCGAACGGGCGUAGCAAUACGUCAGUGGCAGACGGGUGAGUAACGCGUGGGAACAUACCUAUUGGUUCGGAACAACACAGGGAAACUUGUGCUAAUACCGGAUAAGCCCUUACGGGGAAAGAUUUAUCGCCGAGAGAUUGGCCCGCGUCUGAUUAGCUAGUUGGUAGGGUAAUGGCCUACCAAGGCGACGAUCAGUAGCUGGUCUGAGAGGAUGAUCAGCCACAUUGGGACUGAGACACGGCCCAAGCUCCUACGGGAGGCAGCAGUGGGGAAUAUUGGACAAUGGGCGCAAGCCUGAUCCAGCCAUGCCGCGUGAGUGAUGAAGGCCCUAGGGUUGUAAAGCUCUUUUGUACGGGAAGAUAAUGACGGUACCGUAAGAAUAAGCCCGGCUAACUUCGUGCCAGCAGCCGCGGUAAU